CCUACGGGUGGCAGCAGUGGGGAAUAUUGCACAAUGGGCGCAAGCCUGAUGCAGCCAUGCCGCGUGUGUGAAGAAGGCCUUCGGGUUGUAAAGCACUUUCAGCGGGGAGGAAGGCGGUGAGGUUAAUAACCUCAUCGAUUGACGUUACCCGCAGAAGAAGCACCGGCUAACUCCGUGCCAGCAGCCGCGGUAAUACGGAGGGUGCAAGCGUUAAUCGGAAUUACUGGGCGUAAAGCGCACGCAGGCGGUCUGUCAAGUCGGAUGUGAAAUCCCCGGGCUCAACCUGGGAACUGCAUUCGAAACUGGCAGGCUAGAGUCUUGUAGAGGGGGGUAGGAUUCCAGGUGUAGCGGUGAAAUGCGUAGAGAUCUGGAGGAAUACCGGUGGCGAAGGCGGCCCCCUGGACAAAGACUGACGCUCAGGUGCGAAAGCGUGGGGAGCAAACAGGAUUAGAUACCCUAGUAGUC
This 465-nucleotide ribosomal RNA is filed under the name uncultured Klebsiella sp. Its description in RNAcentral is "bacterial SSU rRNA". It matches the Rfam family "Bacterial small subunit ribosomal RNA", at positions 338 to 795 of the family's 1533-position model. Lineage: Bacteria; Pseudomonadati; Pseudomonadota; Gammaproteobacteria; Enterobacterales; Enterobacteriaceae. The record is from RNAcentral.